RNAcentral lists this ribosomal RNA (468 nucleotides) under uncultured bacterium. RNAcentral describes it as "partial 16S ribosomal RNA". It matches the Rfam family "Bacterial small subunit ribosomal RNA", at positions 28 to 507 of the family's 1533-position model. The record is from RNAcentral.
GACGAACGCUGGCGGCGUGCUUAACACAUGCAAGUCGAACGGAAAGGCCCUGCUUUUGUGGGGUGCUCGAGUGGCGAACGGGUGAGUAACACGUGAGUAACCUGCCCUUGACUUUGGGAUAACUUCAGGAAACUGGGGCUAAUACCGGAUAGGAGAUCAUGCUGCAUGGUGGGGGUUGGAAAGUUUCGGCGGUUGGGGAUGGACUCGCGGCUUAUCAGCUUGUUGGUGGGGUAGUGGCUUACCAAGGAUUUGACUGGUAGCCGGCCUGAGAGGGUGACCGGCCACAUUGGGACUGAGAGACGGCCCAGACGCCUACGGUAGGCAGCAGUGGGGAAUAUUGCUCAAUGGGCGGAAGCCGGAUGCAGCAACGCCGCGUGCGGGAUGACGGCUUGCGGGGUGUAAACCGCUUUCGCCUGUGACGAAGCGUGAGUGACGGUAAUGGAUAAAGAAGCACCGGCUAACUACGUG